AUGCGCAGUUCAUCUCAUACAUCACUCAUUCAUUCGUUCAUGGCGGUCGUCCUCGGCAAUUAUACCUUCGAAGCAUGCAUUUUGGGGUGGAUCGAGUUAUUAGAGGGAAGUAGACGUUCUCGCGACGGUAGUGGAGUAGUGAUACACAUCUCGGAAAGGGACUUGACGCAUCCCAGUAACUUGGGGUCGAUGGUAGUUGUUCACGGUCAUAGUCGCACGAGUUCCCGUGGAUGGCCGGGGUCGUCACCGUAUGUAGUCGAUGUAGUUGAACUUGACGAAACCCUCAGCGAUAGUAGUGGUGCAUGUCAUAGUGGAACUCGGCGCAUCCAACGUCUUCAGGCGUAG
RNAcentral lists this ribosomal RNA (345 nucleotides) under Triticum aestivum (bread wheat). RNAcentral describes it as "partial small subunit ribosomal RNA". Lineage: Eukaryota; Viridiplantae; Streptophyta; Magnoliopsida; Poales; Poaceae. The record is from RNAcentral.